Molecule: ribosomal RNA, 683 nt
Filed under: uncultured crenarchaeote
Lineage: Archaea; Thermoproteati; Thermoproteota
Description: bacterial SSU rRNA
Rfam family: Archaeal small subunit ribosomal RNA
Source: RNAcentral
CCACUGCUAUCGGGAUAGGACUAAGACAUGCUAGUCAUGCGCUUUCUAGCUAAUGUGAGAGCGCGGCGUACAGCUCAGUAACACGUGGCUAACCUGCCCUUGGGACGGGAAUACCCCCGGGAAACUGGGGCUAAUUCUCGAUAAGUGAAGAAUUCUGGAAUGAAUUUUCGCUCAAAGGACAUUUAUGUCAUGCUCAUAGAUGUUGCCCAGGGAUGGGGCCGCGUCCGAUCAGGUAGUUGGUGAGGUAAUGGCCCACCAAGCCUUUUACCGGUGCGGGCCGUGAGAGCGGGAGCCCGGAGAUGGGCACUGAGACAAGGGCCCAGGCCCUACGGGGCGCAGCAGUCGCGAAAACUUUGCAAUACACGAAAGUGUGACAAGGCUAUCCCGAGUGCCAUCCGCUGAGGAAGGCUUUUACCCAGUAUAAAUAGCUGGGAGAAUAAGGAGAGGGCAAGUCUGGUGUCAGCCGCCGCGGUAAUACCAGCUCUCCGAGUAGUGUGGAUGUUUAUUGGACCUAAAGCAUCCGUAGCUUGCUAUACAAGUCCCCUGUUAAAUCCACCGAUUUAAUCGUUGGAUUGCGGGGGAUACUGUUUGGCUAGGGGACGGGAGAGGCCGACGGUAUUUCCGGGGUAGGGGUGAAAUCCUAUAAUCCCGGGAAGACCACCAGUGGCGAAGGCUGUCGGCUA